ACUGCUCAGUAACACGUGGACAACCUACCCUCAGCACGGGGAUAAACCCGGGAAACUGGGUAUAAUACCCGAUAGUUCUGGUUAGCUGGAAUGCUAUCAGGACGAAAGCUCCGGCGACUGAGGAUGGGUCUGCGGCCUAUCAGGUAGUAGUGGGUGUAAUGUACCUACUAGCCUACGACGGGUACGGGUCGUGAGAGCGAGAGCCCGGAGAUGGAUUCUGAGACACGAAUCCAGGCCCUACGGGGUGCAGCAGGCGCGAAAACUUUACAAUGCUGGCAACAGCGAUAAGGGGACCUCGAGUGCCAGGAUACAAUCUUGGCUGUCGUGAUGCCUAAAAAGCAUUACAUAGCAAGGGCCGGGCAAGACCGGUGCCAGCCGCCGCGGUAACACCGGCGGCUCGAGUGGUAACCGCUAUUAUUGGGUCUAAAGGGUCUGUAGCCGGCCGGAUAAGUCUCUUGAGAAAUCCAGCAGCUCAACUGUUGGGCUUUCAGGGGAUACUGUUCGGCUCGAGGCCGGGAGAGGUGAGAGGUACUUCAGGGGUAGGGGUGAAAUCUUGUAAUCCUUGAAGGACCACCAGUGGCGAAGGCGUCUCACCAGAACGGUCCUGACGGCAAGGGACGAAAGCUAGGGGCACGAACCGGAUUAGAUACCCGGGUAGUCCUAGCCGUAAACGAUACUCGCUAGGUGUCGGCCACGGUGCGACCGUGGUCGGUGCCGUAGGGAAGCCGUGAAGCGAGCCACCUGGGAAGUACGGCCGCAAGGCUGAAACUUAAAGGAAUUGGCGGGGGAGCA
This 792-nucleotide ribosomal RNA is filed under the name uncultured archaeon. RNAcentral's name for it is "bacterial SSU rRNA". It matches the Rfam family "Archaeal small subunit ribosomal RNA", at positions 85 to 878 of the family's 1478-position model. The record is from RNAcentral.